UCGCGGCGGCGUGCGCAGAAGGGUCUGGGCUCGAGCCUGCCUGGAGCCGCCGCCGGUGCAGAUCUUGGUGGUAGUAGCAAAUACUCCAGCGAGGCCCUGGAGGACUGAUGUGGAGAAGGGUUUCGUGUGAACAGCCGUUGCACACGAGUCAGUCGAUCCUAAGCCCUAGGAGAAAUCCGACGCCUACGGCGACGGGAUUUUGAAAAAUUUGAAAUCGACCCGUUGAUCGGGCGAAAGGGAAUCCGGUUCCUAUUCCGGAACCCGGCAGCGGAACCGCUGUUUGUCGGGCCCUCACAAGGGGUUCGUCAGGGUAACCUAAAAGGGCCCGGAGACGCCGUCGGGAGCCCCGGAAAGAGUUUUCUUUUCUGCAUGAGCGUUCGAGUUCCCUGGAAUCCUCUCGCAGGGAGAUAGGGUUUGGAACGCGAAGAGCACCGCAGUUGCGGCGGUGCCCGGGAAUUCCCGACGGACCUUGAAAAUCCGGGAGAGGGCCACGUGGAGGUGUCGCGCCGGCUCGUACCCAUAUCCGCAGCAGGUCUCCAAGGUGAAGAGCCUCUAGUCGAUAGAAUAAUGUAGGUAAGGGAAGUCGGCAAAUCGGAUCCGUAACUUCGGG
Molecule: ribosomal RNA, 610 nt
Filed under: Ischnura aurora
Lineage: Eukaryota; Metazoa; Arthropoda; Insecta; Odonata; Coenagrionidae
Also listed under: 1 other name
Description: partial large subunit ribosomal RNA
Rfam family: Eukaryotic large subunit ribosomal RNA
Source: RNAcentral